CCUACGGGUGGCAGCAGUGGGGAAUAUUGCACAAUGGGCGCAAGCCUGAUGCAGCCAUGCCGCGUGUGUGAAGAAGGCCUUCGGGUUGUAAAGCACUUUCAGCGGGGAGGAAGGCGGUGAGGUUAAUAACCUCAUCGAUUGACGUUACCCGCAGAAGAAGCACCGACUAACUCCGUGCCAGCAGCCGCGGUAAUACGGAGGGUGCAAGCGUUAAUCAGAAUUACUGGGCGUAAAGCGCACGCAGGCGGUCUGUCAAGUCGGAUGUGAAAUCCCCGGGCUCAACCUGGGAGCUGCAUUCGAAACUGGCAGGCUAGAGUCCUGUAGAGGGGGGUAGAAUUCCAGGUGUAGCGGUGAAAUGCGUAGAGAUCUGGAGGAAUACCGGUGGCGAAGGCGGCCCCCUGGACAAAGACUGACGCUCAGGUGCGAAAGCGUGGGGAGCAAACAGGAUUAGAUACCCGAGUAGUC
RNAcentral lists this ribosomal RNA (465 nucleotides) under uncultured Klebsiella sp. RNAcentral's name for it is "bacterial SSU rRNA". It matches the Rfam family "Bacterial small subunit ribosomal RNA", at positions 338 to 795 of the family's 1533-position model. Lineage: Bacteria; Pseudomonadati; Pseudomonadota; Gammaproteobacteria; Enterobacterales; Enterobacteriaceae. The record is from RNAcentral.